RNAcentral lists this transfer RNA (71 nucleotides) under Danio rerio (zebrafish). It matches the Rfam family "tRNA". From Rfam's summary of the family: Transfer RNA (tRNA) molecules are approximately 80 nucleotides in length. Their secondary structure includes four short double-helical elements and three loops (D, anti-codon, and T loops). Further hydrogen bonds mediate the characteristic L-shaped molecular structure. tRNAs have two regions of fundamental functional importance: the anti-codon, which is responsible for specific mRNA codon recognition, and the 3' end, to which the tRNAs corresponding amino acid is attached (by aminoacyl-tRNA synthetases). tRNAs cope with the degeneracy of the genetic code in two manners: having more than one tRNA (with a specific anti-codon) for a particular amino acid; and 'wobble' base-pairing, i.e. permitting non-standard base-pairing at the 3rd anti-codon position. The record is from Rfam by way of RNAcentral. Lineage: Eukaryota; Metazoa; Chordata; Actinopteri; Cypriniformes; Danionidae.
GCAUUGGUGGUUCAGUGGUAGAAUUCUUGCCUCCCACGCGGGAGACCCGGGUCCGAAUCCCGGCUAAUGCA